RNAcentral lists this ribosomal RNA (484 nucleotides) under uncultured bacterium. RNAcentral describes it as "partial 16S ribosomal RNA". It matches the Rfam family "Bacterial small subunit ribosomal RNA", at positions 30 to 507 of the family's 1533-position model. The record is from RNAcentral.
AUUGAACGCUGGCGGCAGGCCUAACACAUGCAAGUCGAGCGGAUGAAGGGAGCUUUCUCCUGGAUUCAGCGGCGGACGGGUGAGUAAUGCCUAGGAAUCUGCCUGGUAGUGGGGUAUAACGUCCGGAAACGGGCGCUACUACCGCAUACGUCCUGCGCGUGCAAGUGGGGGAUCUUCGGACCUCACGCUAUCAGAUGAGCCUAGGUCGGAUUAGCUAGUUGGUGGGGUAAAGGCCUACCAAGGCGACGAUCCGUAACUGGUCUGAGAGGAUGAUCAGUCACACGGGAAGGGAGACAGGGACAAGACUCCUAAGGGAGGCAGCAGUGGGGAAUAUUGGACAAAGGGCGAAAGCAUGAUCCAGCCAUGCCGCGUGUGUGAAGAAGGUCUUCGGAUUGUAAAGCACUUUAAGUUGGGAGGAAGGGCAGUAAGUUAAGACCUUGCUGUUUUGACGGUAACAACAGAAGAAGCACCGGCUAACUUCGUG